Molecule: ribosomal RNA, 410 nt
Filed under: Ehrlichia chaffeensis
Lineage: Bacteria; Pseudomonadati; Pseudomonadota; Alphaproteobacteria; Rickettsiales; Anaplasmataceae
Description: bacterial SSU rRNA
Rfam family: Bacterial small subunit ribosomal RNA
Source: RNAcentral
CAAUUGCUUAUAAUCUUUUUGGUAUAAAUAGUUGUUAGUGGCAGACGGGUGAGUAAUGCGUAGGGAUCUACCUAGUAGUAUGGAAUAGCCAUUAGAAAUGAUGGGUAAUACUGUAUAAUCCCUGCGGGGGAAAGAUUUAUCGCUAUUAGAUGAGCCUACGUUAGAUUAGCUAGUUGGUAAGGUAAUGGCUUACCAAGGCUAUGAUCUAUAGCUGGUCUGAGAGGACGAUCAGCCACACUGGAACUGAGAUACGGUCCAGACUCCUACGGGAGGCAGCAGUGGGGAAUAUUGGACAAUGGGCGAAAGCCUGAUCCAGCUAUGCCGCGUGAGUGAAGAAGGCCUUCGGGUUGUAAAACUCUUUCAAUAGGGAAGAUAAUGACGGUACCUAUAGAAAAAGUCCCGGCAAACUG